Molecule: ribosomal RNA, 530 nt
Filed under: uncultured Geodermatophilus sp.
Lineage: Bacteria; Bacillati; Actinomycetota; Actinomycetes; Geodermatophilales; Geodermatophilaceae
Description: bacterial SSU rRNA
Rfam family: Bacterial small subunit ribosomal RNA
Source: RNAcentral
GUGGGGAAUAUUGCGCAAUGGGCGGAAGCCUGACGCAGCGACGCCGCGUGGGGGAUGACGGCCUUCGGGUUGUAAACCUCUUUCAGCAGGGACGAAGCGCAAGUGACGGUACCUGCAGAAGAAGCACCGGCCAACUACGUGCCAGCAGCCGCGGUAAUACGUAGGGUGCAAGCGUUGUCCGGAAUUAUUGGGCGUAAAGAGCUCGUAGGCGGUUGGUCGCGUCGGCUGUGAAAACCCGGAGCUCAACUCCGGGCCUGCAGUCGAUACGGGCCGACUUGAGUGUUGCAGGGGAGACUGGAAUUCCUGGUGUAGCGGUGAAAUGCGCAGAUAUCAGGAGGAACACCGGUGGCGAAGGCGGGUCUCUGGGCAACAACUGACGCUGAGGAGCGAAAGCGUGGGGAGCGAACAGGAUUAGAUACCCUGGUAGUCCACGCCGUAAACGUUGGGCGCUAGGUGUGGGGGCCAUUCCACGGUCUCCGUGCCGCAGCUAACGCAUUAAGCGCCCCGCCUGGGGAGUACGGCCGCAAGGC